This 1041-nucleotide ribosomal RNA is filed under the name uncultured organism. RNAcentral describes it as "bacterial SSU rRNA". It matches the Rfam family "Bacterial small subunit ribosomal RNA", at positions 331 to 1402 of the family's 1533-position model. The record is from RNAcentral.
CCAUACUCCUACGGGAGGCAGCAGCAGGGAAUAUUGCACAAUGGACGGAAGUCUGAUGCAGCGACGCCGCGUGAGUGAAGAAGGCCUUCGGGUUGUAAAACUCUUUUGAGGGGGAAGAGCCGAGGACGGUACCCCUGGAAUAAGCGUCGGCUAACUACGUGCCAGCAGCCGCGGUAAGACGUAGGACGCGAGCGUUAUCCGGAUUUACUGGGCGUAAAGCGUCUGUAGGCGGAUGUGUAAGUUGGGCGUGAAAGCUCCGGGCUUAACCCGGGAGAAGCCGUUCAAUACUGCAUAACUUGAGGGUGUCAGAGGGGAGCGGAAUUCCCGGUGUAGCGGUAAAAUGCGCAGAGAUCGGGAGGAACACCAGUGGCGGAGGCGGUUCCCUGGGGCACACCUGACGCUGAGAGACGAAAGCUAGGGGAGCGAACAGGAUUAGAGACCCUGGUAGUCCUAGCCCUAAACGAUGAAUGCUAGGUGUGGGAUCGAAUGGUUCCGUGCCGGAGCGAACGCGAUAAGCAUUCCGCCUGGGGAGUACGGCCGCAAGGUUAAAACUCAAACGAAUUGACGGGGCCCCGCACAAGCAGCGGAGCGUGUGGUUUAAUUCGAUGCUACACGAAGAACCUUACCUGGGUUUGACAUGUAGGUGGUAGUGAAUCGAAAGGUGAACGACCCUUCGGGGAGCCUACACAGGUGCUGCAUGGCUGUCGUCAGCUCGUGCCGUGAGGUGUCGGGUUAAGUCCCGUAACGAGCGCAACCCUUGCUCCUAGUUACAAGUGUCUAGGGGGACUGCCGGCGGAAAGCCGGAGGAAGGUGGGGAUGACGUCAAGUCAGCAUGGCCCUUAUAUCCAGGGCUACACACACGCUACAAUGGUCGGUACAAAGGGCAGCGAAACCGCGAGGCGGAGCGAAUCCGAGAAAAGCCGAUCGUAGUUCGGAUAGCAGGCUGCAACCCGCCUGCUUGAAGCUGGAGUUGCUAGUAACCGCGCGUCAGCCAUAGCGCGGUGAUACGUUCCCGGGGCUUGUACACACCGCCCGUCACGU